RNAcentral lists this ribosomal RNA (1679 nucleotides) under human gut metagenome. RNAcentral describes it as "bacterial LSU rRNA". It matches the Rfam family "Bacterial large subunit ribosomal RNA", at positions 1264 to 2925 of the family's 2925-position model. The record is from RNAcentral.
GAAGGACAGGUGGACAGGCAGGAAGAGAGAAUGCCGGUAUGAGUAGCGAAAAGAAGGGUGAGAAUCCCUUCCACCGAAAGCCUAAGGGUUCCUGGGCAACGAUCGUCGUCCCAGGGUAAGUCGGGACCUAAUCCGAGGCGGAGACGCGUAGGAGAUGGACAACAGGUUGAAAUUCCUGUACUGGCUGAGGCCGUUUGAGCGAAGGAGUGACACAGGAAGGAAGGCGCGCGUGCGAAUGGAAGAGCACGUCCAAGCAGGUAGGUCGGGAGACAGGCAAAUCCGUUUCCCAUAAGGCCGAGAUGCGAUGGGGAGCUUCUGGAGACAGAAGCGAAGGGGCUGGCACUAAACUGUCGAGAAAAGCUUCUAGUGAGGACUCAGGCACCCGUACCGAAACCGACACAGGUAGGCAGGAUGAGAAUUCUAAGGUGCGCGGGAAAACCCUCGUUAAGGAACUCGGCAAAAUAUAUCCGUAACUUCGGGAAAAGGAUAACCCAGCGUACGUGAAGUGCAGAAACGCAUGGAGCGGAGAUGGGUGGCAGAAGAGAGGCCCAAGCGACUGUUUACCACAAACACAGGCGUCUGCUAAAGCGAAAGCUGAUGUAUAGAUGCUGACACCUGCCCGGUGCUGGAAGGUUAAGAGGAAGUGUUAGCGCAAGCGAAGCAGUGAAUUGAAGCCCCAGUAAACGGCGGCCGUAACUAUAACGGUCCUAAGGUAGCGAAAUUCCUUGUCGGGUAAGUUCCGACCCGCACGAAAGGUGUAACGAUUUGGGCACUGUCUCAACGAGGGACCCGGUGAAAUUGAAGUACCUGUGAAGAUGCAGGUUACCCGCGACUGGACAGAAAGACCCCAUGGAGCUUUACUGUAACCUGAGAUUGGAUUCCGGUAAGAGAUGUACAGGAUAGUUGGGAGGCUGAGAAGUGAGUACGCCAGUAUUCACGGAGCCGCUGGUGGGAUACCAACCUUGUUUUAUUGGAAUUCUAACGAGAAGCGUAACGAGCUUGCGGACAGUCUCAGGCGGGCAGUUUGACUGGGGCGGUCGCCUCCGAAAGAGUAACGGAGGCGCCCAAAGGUUCCCUCAGCGCGGACGGAAACCGCGCGAAGAGUGCAAAGGCAGAAGGGAGCUUGACUGCGAGACGGACAGGUCGAGCAGGGACGAAAGUCGGGCUUAGUGAUCCGGUGGUAGAGAGUGGAAUUGCCAUCGCUCAACGGAUAAAAGCUACCCUGGGGAUAACAGGCUUAUCUCUCCCAAGAGUCCAUAUCGACGGGGAGGUUUGGCACCUCGAUGUCGGCUCAUCACAUCCUGGGGCUGAAGUAGGUCCCAAGGGUUGGGCUGUUCGCCCAUUAAAGUGGUACGCGAGCUGGGUUCAGAACGUCGUGAGACAGUUCGGUCCCUAUCCAUCGCGGGCGUAAGAAACUUGAAAGGGGCUGCUCCUAGUACGAGAGGACCGGAGUGGACCGACCAAUGGUGUACCAGUCAUGGCGCCAGCCGUGCAGCUGGGUAGCUACGUCGGGGACGGAUAAACGCUGAAAGCAUCUAAGCGUGAAACCAGCCUAGAGAUGAGGUUUCUCAUUACAUUAGUAAGUAAGGUCCCACAAAGACGAUGUGGUUGAUAGGCCGGGAGUGGAAGUACAGCGAUGUACGGAGCGGACCGGUACUAAUAGACCGAGGACUUGACUU